RNAcentral lists this ribosomal RNA (301 nucleotides) under uncultured bacterium. RNAcentral describes it as "partial 16S ribosomal RNA". It matches the Rfam family "Bacterial small subunit ribosomal RNA", at positions 509 to 809 of the family's 1533-position model. The record is from RNAcentral.
CAGUAGCCGCGGUAAUACGUAGGUGGCGAGCGUUGUCCGGAAUUAUUGGGCGUAAAGGGAGCGCAGGCGGACAUAUAAGACCAUCUUAAAAGUGCGGGGCUCAACCCCGUGAGGGGAUGGAAACUGUAUGCCUUGAGUGCAGGAGAGGAAAGCGGAAUUCCCAGUGUAGCGGUGAAAUGCGUAGAUAUUGGGAGGAACACCAGUGGCGAAGGCGGCUUUCUGGACUGCAACUGACGCUGAGGCUCGAAAGCCAGGGGAGCAAACAGGAUUAGAUACCCGAGUAGUCCCUGUCUCUUAUACA